GAUGAACGCUAGCUACAGGCUUAACACAUGCAAGUCGAGGGGCAGCAUGGUCUUAGCUUGCUAAGGCCGAUGGCGACCGGCGCACGGGUGAGUAACACGUAUCCAACCUGCCGUCUACUCUUGGACAGCCUUCUGAAAGGAAGAUUAAUACAAGAUGGCAUCAUGAGUCCGCAUGUUCACAUGAUUAAAGGUAUUCCGGUCGACGAUGGGGAUGCGUUCCAUUAGAUAGUAGGCGGGGUAACGGCCCACCUAGUCUUCGAUGGAUAGGGGUUCUGAGAGGAAGGUCCCCCACAUUGGAACUGAGACACGGUCCAAACUCCUACGGGAGGCAGCAGUGAGGAAUAUUGGUCAAUGGGCGCAGGCCUGAACCAGCCAAGUAGCGUGAAGGAUGACUGCCCUAUGGGUUGUAAACUUCUUUUAGAAAGGAAUAAAGUCGGGUAUGUAUACCCGUUUGCAUGUACUUUAUGAAUAAGGAUCGGCUAACUCCGUG
Molecule: ribosomal RNA, 490 nt
Filed under: uncultured bacterium
Lineage: Bacteria
Description: partial 16S ribosomal RNA
Rfam family: Bacterial small subunit ribosomal RNA
Source: RNAcentral